CCUCAAGGUCAACAAAGAAUCCAGGACAUGAGAGAACCUUUUCUACAGGAUCCUACAUCUUUGGCACUUAUUGAAAGCUACGAGAAGGGAGCCAGAGGCCCACCCAGAUUCCUUCAGUAAGAGCGAGCAGAUCCCUGUGAGAAGCCUACAUGGACCAGAGCUGCACUGGUGUGCACAGGUCCCAGCCAGGGCCCCACCCAGACCCCAGUAGCUUGAGCCCAUAGGCUCCAACUAAAGACCUGCUUUGAAAAGAGCUAUGCAGGCAAGGAAGCAACAGCCAGAGGCCCACCCAGAUAAUACUGCUAAGUGUGUACAGACCCCAGCUAGAAGCCCACUCAGACCAGCGACUUGGGUACAUGAUUCCCAGCCAAAGGCCCUCCUGGACAACAGCUACGCAGGGAGGCAGGCCCCAGCCAGAGGCAGGCCCAGAUACCAUCCCAAGUGUGCACAGGCCCCAGCCAGAACCCUGCCCAGACAACAGGGCACCCUAGGGAUCCAGAAGGCCACCAUUAUGAACCCAGGAAUUGCCACAGUGGUAAACAGCAGAAAAAAGGCCUUUCAGUGGCUUGCUGAGAAAUGAAAACCAC
This is a non-coding RNA of Heterocephalus glaber (naked mole-rat), 587 nucleotides long. NCBI's taxonomy places the organism in Eukaryota, Metazoa, Chordata, Mammalia, Rodentia, Bathyergidae. The record is from RefSeq and is a predicted model, not a curated record.